RNAcentral lists this ribosomal RNA (59 nucleotides) under Chaenotheca subroscida. Its description in RNAcentral is "partial 28S ribosomal RNA". It matches the Rfam family "Eukaryotic large subunit ribosomal RNA", at positions 1 to 57 of the family's 3401-position model. Lineage: Eukaryota; Fungi; Ascomycota; Coniocybomycetes; Coniocybales; Coniocybaceae. The record is from RNAcentral.
UUUGACCUCGGAUCAGGUGGGGAUACCCGCUGAACUUAAGCAUAUCAAUAAGCGGAGGA